CUAGCUUGGUGGCGCACUUGGACAAGUUCUUGGUGGGCUAACGUGUACUUUUGAUUUAUCGCUAGACAGAUAAAUACUGAAUCGCAAAGCCCGCUAAUUUAGCGGGCUUUUUUGU
This is a non-coding RNA of Vibrio panuliri, 115 nucleotides long. Lineage: Bacteria; Pseudomonadati; Pseudomonadota; Gammaproteobacteria; Vibrionales; Vibrionaceae. The record is from Rfam.